Molecule: long non-coding RNA, 764 nt
Filed under: Helianthus annuus (common sunflower)
Lineage: Eukaryota; Viridiplantae; Streptophyta; Magnoliopsida; Asterales; Asteraceae
Description: hypothetical non coding rna
Source: RNAcentral
AUCUUGAAUCUAGACAUAAUUUCACAUUUUCAUAUACUCAUAAAACCUUACCACCUUUCGACUUCCGAAACUUCGAUCUUUCUAAAACUCACGAACGGGUUAUAAAGCAAAUCAUUGAUAUAACCACCUUUGCUACAAUCUGAGAUCGGAACCCUUUUCUUUUGUUCGGACAUUACCUCUCCUUUUGUUCGCGCUGGUUCAUUUUGGAGACAACCGAAGUUUACGUCGGACUCUCGUUAUCUCGUUUCGAUAUUAUACGGACUCAGUUUCAUCCCUUGCUGACACCCACGGGACGUUUCUGGAUCAUCGCUGAACCCGCCGGAGGAAUUCAGACGUCGCCGGGAUUAACGUGACUCGCCGGAGAUCGGAGAAGACGACCGGGGAGGAACUCGACACGGCGUUUCUUUUACGUGUUCGGAUAACCACUUCGUUCUCUUGGAUUAUUCUCCAUCUUUACUCGUGCGUUACUUACAAGAAAUCCAAACGCAACCAAUGUUGAGGAUGAUGAUGCUAUGAAAAGAAGUAGCGAUAACCACUUCGUUCUCUUGGAUUAUUCUCCAUCUUUACUCGUGCGUUACUUACAAGAAAUCCAAACGCAACCAAUGUUGAGGAUGAUGAUGCUAUGAAAAGAAGUAGCGUUGAUGCCUAGAUACACAUAUAGACGUUUAGGUUUAAUAUGUUGUAUCAAUUUUGAUUAUGUUGUUAUGUAUUUCCUUUGAACUUGUUGUUAUUUGUAUUUCUUGUAUUGUUGACAAUUUACUUAU